GGAUCAUUAGCUCAGUCGGUAGAGCAACGGAUUCUUAAUCCGUGGGCCGUAGGUUCGAACCCUACAUGAUCCA
Molecule: transfer RNA, 73 nt
Filed under: Campylobacterota bacterium
Lineage: Bacteria; Pseudomonadati; Campylobacterota
Description: Epsilonproteobacteria bacterium (hydrothermal vent metagenome) tRNA-Lys
Rfam family: tRNA
About the family: Transfer RNA (tRNA) molecules are approximately 80 nucleotides in length.
Source: RNAcentral